AAGUAAGCGUCUAAGAAGGAGUAGUAGUGAAUUCUUUCCCUUAAAGAGAGUUGACGGAUGGUGCAAGUCAACGGGAUUCUUCAUGAACUCGCCUAUCGAGCUUGAAUGCAUGAACCAACCCUACCAAAGUAGUAGUGCAUUCCGUUUGUUCGCGAUAAGAACCUAAUGAGCCGAGUGCAAGGAGCUUUAAGCCAUGCACUAAUUUGGGUGGUACCGCGGGAGAUUACAUAUGACACUCUCGUCCCAUUU
This 249-nucleotide non-coding RNA is filed under the name Bacillus coahuilensis. RNAcentral's name for it is "T-box sequence". It matches the Rfam family "T-box leader". Rfam says of the family: Uncharged tRNA acts as the effector for transcription antitermination of genes in the T-box leader family. T-boxes are found upstream of many aminoacyl-tRNA synthetase genes and some amino acid biosynthetic genes usually in Gram-positive bacteria. The anticodon of a specific tRNA base pairs to a specifier sequence within the T-box motif, and the NCCA acceptor tail of the tRNA base pairs to a conserved bulge in the T-box antiterminator hairpin. The record is from RNAcentral. Lineage: Bacteria; Bacillati; Bacillota; Bacilli; Caryophanales; Bacillaceae.